UGCUCUGCCUGGCAGUGAAUCCGCGCCGCUGCCCGGCAGGCAUGCCCCGGCCUGCGGCUCUGGAAUGCGGGCGAGCCACCGUCCCGGAGACCCGCCCUUGGUGGCUGGGCUCGAGGCGGCCGGGCCCAGCCCACCGACCCAGCCGCGCACGCUCUGUGUUUGCCCCGGGAGCCGAGCCCACACCCUUCACGCCGCCUUGAUGGUUGCUGAGCAGUUGAACCGACACCCCAAACCCCCGUGUUUCUCUCUGGGCAGAAGCGCCUGUGGCCUCGUGGUGGGAGGCGCUGGAAGGAGAGCGACGGCUCCAGGCACCUGCUGCUUCAAGGAGGUUGUGAACUUUUGGAGAUGCUGUUGGUACGGGGCAGAGCUUGGAGAUCCUCUGCCUCUGAGAAGAGGACAGGAAGGGACACACCCCAGUGGCACAUCCGAUGCUGGUGUGAGUGUUAACACGUCGCGAACUCUCAGGGAACAGUGGCUCCUGUUCCUGGGGCCCCGGGCUCCCCAUCUCUAAAGAUUGGGUUGACCUAGAAAAGCAUGUCGGAAACGUGGGACCCAGGCCGCUGUAGCUGCCAGGACGCUCUGCGUGGGGCAGGCGUGGGGCACAGCGAGAAGGCCGUUCCUUUUCAGCAAUUUUUCUAUCCUUCUGCAUUCAGCUUGGUCCUUACUUGUCUUUAUGGCUGGUCCCCCGCCCUCCUCCACUGCUCACCCCCCCUUUUUAGAGAGAGAGACCAGGCCUCUGGCUCAGAGCCGUGGGCGGGCAACAGCAUUUAAUAACACGAUUUGUCUUCCCUGUGCUCACUUUCAGAGUUAUCUUCUCUUAGUGGCAAGUGAUACUGGUUUUCCAUUUACAUGGAUGAUAGAGAAUUUCCUUUUAAAAUAAACUUAAGUAAAAAAAUAAGGGAUCCAGAGUGUUCUCACGGAGGCCCGGGUCACAUGACCGGCCAGACCACGCCGGAGCGGCUGGAUCUGAGGACAGCCGGGCACUGGGCUGAACGCUUCACACCUCAUCCCCCUCAGUCGCCAUAACAGCCCCUGAGACGCGGCUCAGGGGAGAAAGUGUCACGUUACCGACGAUGUGAGGAGCUCAGGUUCCAGAGUCACUGCGGCCGGGCCCUGUGAGCAGGAAGAACUCCCCAGGUGGUAACUCACUGAAUCCUCCCGAUGGCCCUGAAUUCCUCCCUCUGCUCCGCCUCCUCUGCCCCCACACAGCCAAUCCCUCAGCGAAAGCUGUUGGCUCUGCCCUGAAAAUACCUCCCGAAUCUGGCCUUCUCCCCACCUGCCCUGCUCCCAGCACCCAAGCCACCACCACUUCCUGUCGGGAUUGCUGCCUCCUCCUGGUGGCCCCUCUCGGUCUCCUGCCCACACGCAGUGAGACAGAUCCUUUAAAAACUUAGCGCCAUCCUGUCCUCGCUCUGCUUGGAACCAUCCAGCAGCUCCUCAUCCCUGCACAACCGGAGCCUGCCCACCUCUCCCUCCCCCCCACCUCGCCACCGCUUCCUCUGCUCCCGCCACUUGUUGUUUCUAAAACACCCCCAACCUCAUCCUGCCUCAGGGCCUUUGCACUGGCUGUUCCCUCGGCCCGAAAUGCCCUUCUCCCAGAAAUCUGAAC
Long non-coding RNA from Diceros bicornis minor, 1609 nucleotides. RefSeq lists it as uncharacterized. NCBI's taxonomy places the organism in Eukaryota, Metazoa, Chordata, Mammalia, Perissodactyla, Rhinocerotidae. The record is from RefSeq and is a predicted model, not a curated record. The transcript is spliced from 3 exons.